This 856-nucleotide long non-coding RNA is filed under the name Homo sapiens (human). Its description in RNAcentral is "long non-coding RNA NONHSAT203221.1". The record is from RNAcentral. Lineage: Eukaryota; Metazoa; Chordata; Mammalia; Primates; Hominidae.
GUUGUAGCCCUGCAUGCUUUCUGGGGAGCACACUCUAGCCACCGAGAUGAAGGCACGGGGAGGCCCGACCGUAGGUCGAACACGUCAGUCAGUGGCUGAUCCUUCCCAUGGUCUCUGGAUACACCAGUGAAGGCAGGAGGUGAAGUCUCCCAGAUCACCUGGGAACAGCCAUGGACACUUGUCUGGGGCUGCAUGAGGCAGUGUCUGAGACUCACCUUUGACACAAAUGUAACUGAAGGGGAGAAGCUGCCCCUGGGCAAGCCGGUCAGCUGAAAUACUGGUAUCCUCAGGUCCUGGCACAGCCUUAGCACCAAGUGGGCAUUCAACAGAUGUCUGUGAAGGUGAGUGGCUUGGCAGAAAACAGCCAAACCCUCUUCUGUGGAGCUUAAAGUGAAGGCCAGGAAGAGGGCUGGGGACAGAGAGAUCCCUUUGCAAAGACUGAAAGAACAACAGCGGCUACUGGACAGAAAUGUGGGUAGGCCCAAAAGUGGAAGGGCAACUGGAGGGACAGGAAAGGGAGUCUGGAGAGAAAGUGGAGGCCAGCUUCCAAGGCCAGACCAGGCUGAAGGUCUGCAGCUUCACUUCUGAGGCCUGCGAGACAACGAACCCAGCGGGAGGAAUGAACAACUCCAGACGCGCCGCCUUAAGAGCUGUAACACUCACCGCGAAGGUCCGCAGCUUCACUCCUGAAGCCAGCGAGACCACGAACCCACCAGAAGGAAGAAACUCUGAACACGUCCAAACAUCAGAAGGAACAAACUCCGGACACACCAUCUUUAAGAACUUGUAACACUCACCGCGCGGGUCCGCGGCUUCAUUCUCGAAGUCAGAGAGACCAAGAACCCACCAAUUCUGG